GGAGUUUUUAAACAUUGGCGAACAACCGCAACAUCAUGAAGUUGCCUUCGCAUGGCAGAGGUCACGAGUUCGAGUCUCGUCGGGUCCA
Molecule: transfer RNA, 88 nt
Filed under: Rubrobacter sp.
Lineage: Bacteria; Bacillati; Actinomycetota; Rubrobacteria; Rubrobacterales; Rubrobacteraceae
Also listed under: 1 other name
Description: tRNA-Ala
Source: RNAcentral